This 468-nucleotide ribosomal RNA is filed under the name uncultured bacterium. RNAcentral describes it as "partial 16S ribosomal RNA". It matches the Rfam family "Bacterial small subunit ribosomal RNA", at positions 28 to 507 of the family's 1533-position model. The record is from RNAcentral.
GACGAACGCUGGCGGCGUGCUUAACACAUGCAAGUCGAACGGAAAGGCCCUGCUUUUGUGGGGUGCUCGAGUGGCGAACGGGUGAGUAACACGUGAGUAACCUGCCCUUGACUUUGGGAUAACUUCAGGAAACUGGGGCUAAUACCGGAUAGGAGCUCCAGCUGCAUGGUGGGGGUUGGAAGGUUUCGGCGGUUGGGGAUGGACUCGCGGCUUAUCAGCUUGUUGGUGGGGUAGUGGCUUACCAAGGCUUUGACGGGUAGCCGGCCUGAGAGGGUGACCGGCCACAUUGGGACUGAGAUACGGCCCAGACUCCUACGGGAGGCAGCAGUGGGGAAUAUUGCACAAUGGGCGGAAGCCUGAUGUAGCAACGCCGCGUGCGGGAUGACGGCCUUCGGGUUGUAAACCGCUUUCGCCUGUGACGAAGCGUGAGUGACGGUAAUGGGUAAAGAAGCACCGGCUAACUACGUG